This 506-nucleotide ribosomal RNA is filed under the name uncultured bacterium. Its description in RNAcentral is "partial 16S ribosomal RNA". It matches the Rfam family "Bacterial small subunit ribosomal RNA", at positions 29 to 523 of the family's 1533-position model. The record is from RNAcentral.
AUUGAACGCUGGCGGCAGGCCUAACACAUGCAAGUCGGACGGUAGCACAGAGGAGCUUGCUCCUCGGGUGACGAGUGGCGGACGGGUGAGUAAUGUCAGGGGAUCCGCCCGAGAGAGGGGGAUAACCACUGGAAACGGUGGCUAAUACCGCAUAACGUCGCAAGAACAAAGAGGGGGACCUUCGGGCCUCUCACUAUCGGAUGAACCCAGAUGGGAUUAGCUAGUAGGCGGGGUAACGGCCCACCUAGGAGACGAUCCCUAGCUGGUCUGAGAGGAUGACCAGCCACACUGGAACUGAGACACGGUCCAGACUCCUACGGGAGGCAGCAGUGGGGAAUAUUGCACAAUGGGCGCAAGCCUGAUGCAGCCAUGCCGCGUGUAUGAAGAAGGCCUUCGGGUUGUAAAGUACUUUCAGCGGGGAGGAAGGCGAUAAGGUUAAUAACCUUGUCGAUUGACGUUACCCGCAGAAGAAGCACCGGCUAACUCCGUGCCAGCCGCCGCAGUAA